GGCAAGAUGGCCGAGUGGUCUAAGGCGCUGUGUUCAGGAAAUCUCGAUUUUCAUCGCAGUCUUCGGGCGUGGGUUCGAAUCCCACUCUUGUCA
Pseudozyma hubeiensis SY62 is the source of this 93-nucleotide transfer RNA. It matches the Rfam family "tRNA". From Rfam's summary of the family: Transfer RNA (tRNA) molecules are approximately 80 nucleotides in length. The record is from Rfam. Lineage: Eukaryota; Fungi; Basidiomycota; Ustilaginomycetes; Ustilaginales; Ustilaginaceae.